RNAcentral lists this ribosomal RNA (460 nucleotides) under uncultured bacterium. Its description in RNAcentral is "partial 16S ribosomal RNA". It matches the Rfam family "Bacterial small subunit ribosomal RNA", at positions 338 to 795 of the family's 1533-position model. The record is from RNAcentral.
CCUACGGGUGGCAGCAGUGGGGAAUAUUGCGCAAUGGACGAAAGUCUGAACCAGCCAAGUAGCGUGAAGGAUGACUGCCCUACGGGUUGUAAACUUCUUUUAUAAAGGAAUAAAGUGAGGCACGUGUGCCGUUUUGUAUGGACUUUAUGAAUAAGGAUCGGCUAACGCCGUGCCAGCAGCCGCGGUAAUCCGGAGGAUCCGAGCGUUAUCCGGAUUUAUGGGGUGUAAAGGGGGCGGAGAUGGGGUGUUCAGUCCGUGGGGAAAGUUUGCGGCUAAACCGUAAAAUUGCAAUUGAUACUGGCAGUCUUUGGUACAGUUGAGGUCGGCGGCAUGCGUGGUGUAGCGGUGAAAUGCUUAGAUAUCACGAAGAACUCCUAUUGCGCAGGCCGCUUACUCAGCUGCAUCUGACAUUGCUGCUCGAAAGUGUGGGUAUCAAACAGGAUUAGAUACCCGAGUAGUC